CCUCGGCACCACCCCGGCGAAGGCCGGGGUCCAGUUGGCAAACGUCGCUGAUCAGGCGGUGCGUUCCGUUACCUCGACCUCCCAACUGGACCCCGGCCUUCGCCGGGGUGGUGGUAAUA
Molecule: microRNA precursor, 119 nt
Filed under: Sphingomonas sp. BK481
Lineage: Bacteria; Pseudomonadati; Pseudomonadota; Alphaproteobacteria; Sphingomonadales; Sphingomonadaceae
Description: microRNA MIR1846
Source: RNAcentral